Molecule: ribosomal RNA, 467 nt
Filed under: uncultured bacterium
Lineage: Bacteria
Description: partial 16S ribosomal RNA
Rfam family: Bacterial small subunit ribosomal RNA
Source: RNAcentral
GACGAACGCUGGCGGCGUGCUUAACACAUGCAAGUCGAACGAAAGGGCCCGGUUUUUGGGGGGUGUCGGGUGGCGGAAGGGGGGAGAAACACGGGAGUACCUGCCCCUUGACUUGGGGUUAACUCAGGGAAACGGGGGCAAUAACCGAAUAGAAGCUCCUGCGCCAGGGGGGGGGUGGGAAGUUUUCGCGGUUGGGGGUGGGCCCGCGGGUUAUCAGCUUGUUGGUGGGGGAGGGGGGUACCAAGGCUUUGAAGGGUAGCCGGCCUUAGAGGGUGACCGGCCACAUUGGGACUGAGAUACGGCCCAGACUCCUACGGGAGGCAGCAGUGGGGAAUAUUGCACAAUGGGCGGAAGCCUGAUGCAGCAACGCCGCGUGCGGGAUGACGGCCUUCGGGUUGUAAACCGCUUUCGCCUGUGACGAAGCGUGAGUGACGGUAAUGGGUAAAGAAGCACCGGCUAACUACGUG